GACGAACGCUGGCGGCGUGCUUAACACAUGCAAGUCGAACGGAAAGGCCCCUUCGGGGGUACUCGAGUGGCGAACAGGUGAGUAACACGUGAGUAACCUGCCCUUGACUUCGGGAUAACUUCAGGAAACUGGGGCUAAUACCGGAUAGGAAUCCUUGCUGCAUGGUGGGGGUUGGAAAGCUUCGGCGGUUUUGGAUGGACUCGCGGCUUAUCAGCUUGUUGGUGGGGUAGUGGCUUACCAAGGCUUUGACGGGUAGCCGACCUGAGAGGGCGACCGGCCACAUUGGGACUGAGAUACGGCCCAGACUCCUACGGGAGGCAGCAGUGGGGAAUAUUGCACAAUGGGCGGAAGCCUGAUGCAGCAACGCCGCGUGCGGGAUGACGGCCUUCGGGUUGUAAACCGCUUUCAGCAGGGGCGAAGCUUGUGGUGACGGUACCUGCAGAAGAAGCACCGGCUAACUACGUG
This 465-nucleotide ribosomal RNA is filed under the name uncultured bacterium. RNAcentral's name for it is "partial 16S ribosomal RNA". It matches the Rfam family "Bacterial small subunit ribosomal RNA", at positions 28 to 507 of the family's 1533-position model. The record is from RNAcentral.